This 465-nucleotide ribosomal RNA is filed under the name uncultured Klebsiella sp. RNAcentral's name for it is "bacterial SSU rRNA". It matches the Rfam family "Bacterial small subunit ribosomal RNA", at positions 338 to 795 of the family's 1533-position model. The record is from RNAcentral. Lineage: Bacteria; Pseudomonadati; Pseudomonadota; Gammaproteobacteria; Enterobacterales; Enterobacteriaceae.
CCUACGGGUGGCUGCAGUGGGGAAUAUUGCACAAUGGGCGCAAGCCUGAUGCAGCCAUGCCGCGUGUGUGAAGAAGGCCUUCGGGUUGUAAAGCACUUUCAGCGGGGAGGAAGGCGGUGAGGUUAAUAACCUUAUCGAUUGACGUUACCCGCAGAAGAAGCACCGGCUAACUCCGUGCCAGCAGCCGCGGUAAUACGGAGGGUGCAAGCGUUAAUCGGAAUUACUGGGCGUAAAGCGCACGCAGGCGGUCUGUCAAGUCGGAUGUGAAAUCCCCGGGCUCAACCUGGGAACUGCAUUCGAAACUGGCAGGCUAGAGUCUUGUAGAGGGGGGUAGAAUUCCAGGUGUAGCGGUGAAAUGCGUAGAGAUCUGGAGGAAUACCGGUGGCGAAGGCGGCCCCCUGGACAAAGACUGACGCUCAGGUGCGAAAGCGUGGGGAGCAAACAGGAUUAGAUACCCGGGUAGUC